RNAcentral lists this ribosomal RNA (254 nucleotides) under uncultured bacterium. RNAcentral's name for it is "partial 16S ribosomal RNA". It matches the Rfam family "Bacterial small subunit ribosomal RNA", at positions 85 to 339 of the family's 1533-position model. The record is from RNAcentral.
UCGCUGACGACCGGCGCACGGGUGAGUAACGCGUAUGCAACCUACCUCAAACAGAGGGAUAGCCCAUGGAAACGUGGAUUAAUACCUCAUAAUAUAUGUUUAUCGCAUGAUAGAUAUAUUAAAGUUCCGGCGGUUUGAGAUGGGCAUGCGUGCCAUUAGAUAGUUGGUGAGGUAACGGCUCACCAAGUCAACGAUGGCUACGGGGUCUUAAAGGAUGGUCCCGCACACUGGUACUGAGACACGGACCAGACUCC